AGCAAUAUGAAGGUCAGGCUGAAGACCUUACCCGAUUAGCUGAGAGGUGGUGCAUGGCCGUCGUCAGUUCGUACUGUGAAGCAUCCUGUUAAGUCAGGCAACGAGCGAGACCCACGUCCACAGUUGCCAGCAUACCCUCCGGGGUGAUGGGUACACUGUGGAGACCGCCGCUGCUAAAGCGGAGGAAGGAGUGGGCAACGGUAGGUCAGUAUGCCCCGAAUCUCCCGGGCUACACGCGGGCUACAAUGGUUGGUACAAUGGGCAUCUACCCCGAAAGGGGAAGGAAAUCUCUUAAAGCCAAUCGUAGUUCGGAUUGAGGGCUGCAACUCGCCCUCAUGAAGCUGGAACCCGUAGUAAUCGCGUUUCAACAGAACGCGGUGAAUACGUCCCUGCUCCUU
RNAcentral lists this ribosomal RNA (398 nucleotides) under uncultured Methanosaeta sp. RNAcentral's name for it is "bacterial SSU rRNA". It matches the Rfam family "Archaeal small subunit ribosomal RNA", at positions 941 to 1338 of the family's 1478-position model. Lineage: Archaea; Methanobacteriati; Methanobacteriota; Methanomicrobia; Methanotrichales; Methanotrichaceae. The record is from RNAcentral.